Molecule: ribosomal RNA, 226 nt
Filed under: uncultured bacterium
Lineage: Bacteria
Description: partial 16S ribosomal RNA
Rfam family: Bacterial small subunit ribosomal RNA
Source: RNAcentral
UGAGUAACACGUAUCCAACCUGCCGUCUACUCUUGGACAGCCUUCUGAAAGGAAGAUUAAUACAAGAUGGCAUCAUGAGUCCACAUGUUCACAUGAUUAAAGGUAUUCCGGUAGACGAUGGGGAUGCGUUCCAUUAGAUAGUAGGCGGGGUAACGGCCCACCUAGUCUUCGAUGGAUAGGGGUUCUGAGAGGAAGGUCCCCCACAUUGGACUGAGACACGGUCCAA